Molecule: ribosomal RNA, 1277 nt
Filed under: Escherichia coli
Lineage: Bacteria; Pseudomonadati; Pseudomonadota; Gammaproteobacteria; Enterobacterales; Enterobacteriaceae
Description: partial 23S ribosomal RNA
Rfam family: Bacterial large subunit ribosomal RNA
Source: RNAcentral
AGGUGGUCAGGUAGAGAAUACCAAGGCGCUUGAGAGAACUCGGGUGAAGGAACUAGGCAAAAUGGUGCCGUAACUUCGGGAGAAGGCACGCUGAUAUGUAGGUGAAGCGACUUGCUCGUGGAGCUGAAAUCAGUCGAAGAUACCAGCUGGCUGCAACUGUUUAUUAAAAACACAGCACUGUGCAAACACGAAAGUGGACGUAUACGGUGUGACGCCUGCCCGGUGCCGGAAGGUUAAUUGAUGGGGUCAGCGCAAGCGAAGCUCUUGAUCGAAGCCCCGGUAAACGGCGGCCGUAACUAUAACGGUCCUAAGGUAGCGAAAUUCCUUGUCGGGUAAGUUCCGACCUGCACGAAUGGCGUAAUGAUGGCCAGGCUGUCUCCACCCGAGACUCAGUGAAAUUGAACUCGCUGUGAAGAUGCAGUGUACCCGCGGCAAGACGGAAAGACCCCGUGAACCUUUACUAUAGCUUGACACUGAACAUUGAGCCUUGAUGUGUAGGAUAGGUGGGAGGCUUAGAAGUGUGGACGCCAGUCUGCAUGGAGCCGACCUUGAAAUACCACCCUUUAAUGUUUGAUGUUCUAACGUUGACCCGUAAUCCGGGUUGCGGACAGUGUCUGGUGGGUAGUUUGACUGGGGCGGUCUCCUCCUAAAGAGUAACGGAGGAGCACGAAGGUUGGCUAAUCCUGGUCGGACAUCAGGAGGUUAGUGCAAUGGCAUAAGCCAGCUUGACUGCGAGCGUGACGGCGCGAGCAGGUGCGAAAGCAGGUCAUAGUGAUCCGGUGGUUCUGAAUGGAAGGGCCAUCGCUCAACGGAUAAAAGGUACUCCGGGGAUAACAGGCUGAUACCGCCCAAGAGUUCAUAUCGACGGCGGUGUUUGGCACCUCGAUGUCGGCUCAUCACAUCCUGGGGCUGAAGUAGGUCCCAAGGGUAUGGCUGUUCGCCAUUUAAAGUGGUACGCGAGCUGGGUUUAGAACGUCGUGAGACAGUUCGGUCCCUAUCUGCCGUGGGCGCUGGAGAACUGAGGGGGGCUGCUCCUAGUACGAGAGGACCGGAGUGGACGCAUCACUGGUGUUCGGGUUGUCAUGCCAAUGGCACUGCCCGGUAGCUAAAUGCGGAAGAGAUAAGUGCUGAAAGCAUCUAAGCACGAAACUUGCCCCGAGAUGAGUUCUCCCUGACCCUUUAAGGGUCCUGAAGGAACGUUGAAGACGACGACGUUGAUAGGCCGGGUGUGUAAGCGCAGCGAUGCGUUGAGCUAACCGGUACUAAUGAACCGUGAG